RNAcentral lists this ribosomal RNA (515 nucleotides) under uncultured bacterium. RNAcentral describes it as "bacterial SSU rRNA". It matches the Rfam family "Bacterial small subunit ribosomal RNA", at positions 9 to 526 of the family's 1533-position model. The record is from RNAcentral.
GAGUUUGAUCCUGGCUCAGGAUGAACGCUGGCGGCGUGCCUAACACAUGCAAGUCGAACGAAGCACCUUUUGAGAUUCUUCGGAUGAUCGAUCGGUGACUGAGUGGCGGACGGGUGAGUAACGCGUGGGUAACCUACCCUGUACAGGGGGAUAACAGCUGGAAACGGCUGCUAAUACCGCAUAAGCGCACGAGGAGACAUCUCCUUGUGUGAAAAACUCCGGUGGUACAGGAUGGGCCCGCGUCUGAUUAGCUGGUUGGCAGGGUAACGGCCUACCAAGGCAACGAUCAGUAGCCGGUCUGAGAGGGUGAACGGCCACAUUGGGACUGAGACACGGCCCAGACUCCUACGGGAGGCAGCAGUGGGGAAUAUUGCACAAUGGGGGAAACCCUGAUGCAGCGACGCCGCGUGAAGGAAGAAGUAUCUCGGUAUGUAAACUUCUAUCAGCAGGGAAGAAAAUGACGGUACCUGACUAAGAAGCCCCGGCUAACUACGUGCCAGCAGCCGCGGUAAUAC